RNAcentral lists this transfer RNA (85 nucleotides) under Oscillospiraceae bacterium. RNAcentral describes it as "tRNA-Leu". It matches the Rfam family "tRNA". From Rfam's summary of the family: Transfer RNA (tRNA) molecules are approximately 80 nucleotides in length. Their secondary structure includes four short double-helical elements and three loops (D, anti-codon, and T loops). The record is from RNAcentral. Lineage: Bacteria; Bacillati; Bacillota; Clostridia; Eubacteriales; Oscillospiraceae.
GCGCCUGUGACGGAAUUGGCAGACGUGCCGGAUUUAGGUUCCGGUGCUGCAAAGCGUAUGGGUUCAAGUCCCUUCAGGCGCACCA